RNAcentral lists this ribosomal RNA (253 nucleotides) under uncultured bacterium. Its description in RNAcentral is "partial 16S ribosomal RNA". It matches the Rfam family "Bacterial small subunit ribosomal RNA", at positions 524 to 776 of the family's 1533-position model. The record is from RNAcentral.
UACAGAGGAUGCAAGCGUUAUCCGGAAUGAUUGGGCGUAAAGCGUCUGUAGGUGGCUUUUUAAGUCCGCCGUCAAAUCCCAGGGCUCAACUCUGGACAGGCGGUGGAAACUACCAAGCUGGAGUACGGUAGGGGCAGAGGGAAUUUCCGGUGGAGCGGUGAAAUGCGUAGAGAUCGGAAAGAACACCAACGGCGAAAGCACUCUACUGGGCCGACACUGACACUGAGGUACGAAAGCGUGGGGAGCGAACAGG